GAUGAAGAACGUAGCGAAAUGCGAUACGUAAUGUGAAUUGCGGAAUUCAGCGAACCAUCGAAUCUUUGAACGCACAUUGCGCCCGCCAGUAUUCUGGCGGGCAUGCCUGUCCGAGCGUCAUUUCCCCCCUCACGCGCCCCGUUGCGCGCUGGUGUUGGGGCUCCUCCGCCUGGCGGAGGGCCCCGAAAGCGAGUGGCGGGCCCGGCUGGUUGGCUCCGAGCGCAGUACCGAACGCAAGUUCUCCCCUCGCUCAGACGCCCCGCCGGCGCCCUGCCGUCAAAACGCGCAUGACGUGCAACUCUUUUUACAAGGUUGACCUCGGAUCAGGUAGGACUACCCGCUGAACUUAAGCAUAUCAAUAAGCGGAGGA
RNAcentral lists this unclassified non-coding RNA (370 nucleotides) under soil metagenome. RNAcentral's name for it is "partial contains 5.8S ribosomal RNA, internal transcribed spacer 2, and large subunit ribosomal RNA". The stretch from base 1 to 120 matches the Rfam family "5.8S ribosomal RNA", at positions 35 to 154 of the family's 154-position model. The record is from RNAcentral.